Molecule: ribosomal RNA, 373 nt
Filed under: uncultured eukaryote
Lineage: Eukaryota
Description: partial 18S ribosomal RNA
Rfam family: Eukaryotic small subunit ribosomal RNA
Source: RNAcentral
CAAUAGCGUAUAUUAAAGUUGUUGCAGUUAAAAAGCUCGUAGUUGAAUUUUUGCUUGCCGCCGAUGUCGGAACUUCCGUACGUUCGGCGGCGUGCAUCCUUGGGUGGAACCUGUGUGGCAUUAGGUUGUCGUGCAGGGGAUGCUCAUCGUUUACUGUGAAAAAAUUAGAGUGUUCAAAGCAGGCUUACGCCGUUGAAUAUAUUAGCAUGGAAUAAUAAGAUAGGACCUUGGUACUAUUUUGUUGGUUUGCGCACCGAGGUAAUGAUUAACAGGGACAGUUGGGGGUAUUCGUAUUCCAUUGUCAGAGGUGAAAUUCUUGGAUUUCUGGAAGACGAACUACUGCGAAAGCAUUUGUCAAGGAUGUUUUCAUUAA